CGCCCCGCGGCCGGCUCGGUUCCGAUCAGCGCCGGCGUUGCUCGGUAGCGGGGAGCGCCCCAGGAGGCCAGCGGGAGGCGAGGCCCAGACACCAGUUGACAAGAGUCUCCUCCGUCGCCCGAGGACUUUUACCUCCUUACCUUGAACUGACCAGCCAGAUCACAGACUGCUGGGUCACAGUGUCAUCUACUCAAGUUAGACAAGAGAAAUUCCGGGCGAAGCGGAUGGGGAGGGACAAUGGAAUAGGCGGGCCACUCUGGAGGCCUCCCCGGCAGCAGCGGCAUCAUCUGGCGGGUGUCUCUGGCUGAGGAGGAACACCAGACAGCCCAGUA
Long non-coding RNA from Sus scrofa (pig), 332 nucleotides. RefSeq lists it as uncharacterized. The record is from RefSeq and is a predicted model, not a curated record. NCBI's taxonomy places the organism in Eukaryota, Metazoa, Chordata, Mammalia, Artiodactyla, Suidae.